CACUCACUGUUUGCUUCCCCAGGCCAGCUGGAGGUGAUCUUGGACCGGCGGCUGAUGCAGGAUGACAACCGGGGCCUAGGCCAAGGGCUCAAGGACAACAAGAGAACCUGCAACCGUUUCCGCCUCCUGCUAGAGCGGCGAACCGUGGGCAGUGAGGUCCAAGAUAGCCACUCUACCAGCUACCCAUCCCUCCUCAGCCACCUGACCUCCAUGUACCUGAACGCCCCGGCGCUCGCUCUGCCUGUAGCCAGGACGCAGCUCCCAGGCCCUGGUCUGCGCUCAUUUCAUCCUCUGGCUUCCUCACUGCCCUGUGACUUCCACCUGCUCAACCUACGUACCCUCCAGGCUGAGGUGAGUGUCCCUCAGCGUGACAUGCUGAGAGCAGAGUUCUGAUGGUGUCCCUCCCUGCUCAGCUCCUUCCUUAGCCUCCAGGAUGAGGUCCAGACCCCUUAGCAGGUAUUUGGCUCCAAACCUCCAGGACCAGGUUUUGGCCUUUCCUUACCCACACGCCUCCCUGUGCCAGCACUGCCUCUGGGCAGAGGCGCUGCUGCAUCUCCGAUCUCUGAAAGCCCUGCGCCCACUUCCCUGGGCACUGUCUGUCAUCCAGGAGGACACCCUGCCCUCGGCGGAGACCGCACUCAUCUUACACCGCAAGGGUUUUGACUGCGGCCUGGAGGCCAAGAACUUGGGCUUCAACUGCACCACAAGCCAAGGCAAG
Molecule: small RNA, 718 nt
Filed under: Pan troglodytes (chimpanzee)
Lineage: Eukaryota; Metazoa; Chordata; Mammalia; Primates; Hominidae
Description: retained intron
Source: RNAcentral